This 467-nucleotide ribosomal RNA is filed under the name uncultured bacterium. Its description in RNAcentral is "bacterial SSU rRNA". It matches the Rfam family "Bacterial small subunit ribosomal RNA", at positions 355 to 822 of the family's 1533-position model. The record is from RNAcentral.
UGGGGAAUUUUGGACAAUGGGCGAAAGCCUGAUCCAGCAACGCCGCGUGAGUGAUGAAGGCCUUCGGGUUGUAAAGCUCUGUCAGAGGGAACGAAAAACAGCGACCUAAUACGUCGUUGCUUGACGGUACUCUCAAAGGAAGCACCGGCUAACUCUGUGCCAGCAGCCGCGGUAAUACAGAGGGUGCAAGCGUUGUUCGAAAUUACUGGGCGUAAAGGGUACGUAGGCGGCGAAGUGUGUCUGAUGUGAAAGCCCUUGGCUUAACCAGGAAGUGCAUUGGAAACUACUUUGCUAGAGUGUGAGAGAGGAUAGUGGAAUUCCCAGAGUAGAGGUGAAAUUCGUAGAUACUGGGAGGAACAUCUGAGGCGAAGGCGACUAUCUGGAUCACAACUGACGCUGAGGUACGAAAGCAUGGGUAGCAAACAGGAUUAGAUACCCCUGUAGUCCCUGAGCGGGCUGGCAAGGCG